RNAcentral lists this ribosomal RNA (423 nucleotides) under uncultured bacterium. RNAcentral describes it as "bacterial SSU rRNA". It matches the Rfam family "Bacterial small subunit ribosomal RNA", at positions 355 to 775 of the family's 1533-position model. The record is from RNAcentral.
UGGGGAAUAUUGGACAAUGGGCGAAAGCCUGAUCCAGCCACGCCGCGUGAGUGAUGAAGGCCUUCGGGUCGUAAAGCUCUGUGGGGAGGGACGAAUGACCGGGUGAAGAAUCCGGAAUGACGGUACCUCCUUAGCAAGCACCGGCUAACUUCGUGCCAGCAGCCGCGGUAAUACGAAGGGUGCAAACGUUGCUCGGAAUCAUUGGGCGUAAAGCGCACGUAGGCGGCCUCAUAAGUCGGAUGUGAAAUCCCUCGGCUCAACCGAGGACGUGCAUCCGAAACUGUGAAGCUCGAGUAUGGAAGAGGGUCGCGGAAUUCCCGGUGUAGAGGUGAAAUUCGUAGAUAUCGGGAGGAACACCAGUGGCGAAGGCGGCGACCUGGGCCAAUACUGACGCUGAGGUGCGAAAGCGUGGGGAGCAAACAG